GAUGAAGAACGUAGCGAAAUGCGAAAAGUAGUGUGAAUUGCAGAAUUCAGUGAAUCAUCGAAUCUUUGAACGCACAUUGUGCCCCUUGGUAUUCCAUGGGGCAUGCCUGUUCGAGCGUCAUUUUGUACCCUCAAGCACUGCUUGGUGUUGGGCGUUUGUCCUGCAGAGGACUCGCCUGAAAGCGAUUGGCGGCCAACGUAGUCGUGGCAGAGCGCAGCACAAUCUCGCGUCUCUCCCCUCUGCGUCGGCGUCCAUGAAGCCCACAAUCUCAACGUUUGACCUCGGAUCAGGUAGGGAUACCCGCUGAACUUAAGCAUAUCAAUAAGCGGAGGA
RNAcentral lists this unclassified non-coding RNA (333 nucleotides) under soil metagenome. RNAcentral's name for it is "partial contains 5.8S ribosomal RNA, internal transcribed spacer 2, and large subunit ribosomal RNA". The stretch from base 1 to 120 matches the Rfam family "5.8S ribosomal RNA", at positions 35 to 154 of the family's 154-position model. The record is from RNAcentral.